This 497-nucleotide ribosomal RNA is filed under the name uncultured bacterium. Its description in RNAcentral is "partial 16S ribosomal RNA". It matches the Rfam family "Bacterial small subunit ribosomal RNA", at positions 28 to 507 of the family's 1533-position model. The record is from RNAcentral.
GAUGAACGCUGGCGGCGUGCCUAAUACAUGCCAGUCGAGCGAACGGACGAGAAGCUUGCUUCUCUGAUGUUAGCGGCGGACGGGUGAGUAACACGUGGAUAACCUACCUAUAAGACUGGGAUAACUUCGGGAAACCGUAGCUAAUACCGGAUAAUAUUUUGAACCGCAUGGUUCAAAAGUGAAAGACGGUCUUGCUGUCACUUAUAGAUGGAUCCGCGCUGCAUUAGCUAGUUGGUAAGGUAACGGCUUACCAAGGCAACGAUGCAUAGCCGACCUGAGAGGGUGAUCGGCCACACUGGAACUGAGACACGGUCCAGACUCCCACGGGAGGCAGCAGUAGGGAAUCUUCCGCAAUGGGCGAAAGCCUGACGGAGCAACGCCGCGUGAGUGAUGAAGGUCUUCGGAUCGUAAAACUCUGUUAUUAGGGAAGAACAUAUGUGUAAGUAACUGUGCACAUCUUGACGGUACCUAAUCAGAAAGCCACGGCUAACUACGUG